CCUACGGGAGGCAGCAGUCGAGAAUCAUUCACAAUGGGGGAAACCCUGAUGGUGCGACGCCGCGUGGGGGAAUGAAGGUCUUCGGAUUGUAAAGCUCUGUCUUCAGGGACGAUAAUGACGGUACCUGAGGAGGAAGCCACGGCUAACUACGUGCCAGCAGCCGCGGUAAUACGGAGGUGGCGAGCGUUGUCCGGAUUUACUGGGCGUAAAGGGAGCGUAGGCGGACUUUUAAGUCAGAUGUGAAAUACUCGGGCUCAACUUGAGUGCUGCAUUUCAAACUGGAAGUCUAGAGUGCAGGAGAGGAGAAUGGAAUUCCUAGUGUAGCGGUGAAAUGCGUAGAGAUUAGGAAGAACACCAGUGGCGAAGGCGAUUCUCUGGACUGUAACUGACGCUGAGGCUCGAAAGCGUGGGGAGCAAACAGGAUUAGAUACCCGUGUAGUC
Molecule: ribosomal RNA, 441 nt
Filed under: uncultured bacterium
Lineage: Bacteria
Description: partial 16S ribosomal RNA
Rfam family: Bacterial small subunit ribosomal RNA
Source: RNAcentral